This 81-nucleotide microRNA precursor is filed under the name Bombyx mori (domestic silkworm). RNAcentral's name for it is "mir-2807 microRNA precursor family". It matches the Rfam family "mir-2807 microRNA precursor family". The record is from Rfam by way of RNAcentral. Lineage: Eukaryota; Metazoa; Arthropoda; Insecta; Lepidoptera; Bombycidae.
CUAAGAAGAAGUAUGGGGUUGGUACGUUUGCCUACGUUUGCCGCUAGGGGCGCUGUUCCAACUGCAGACAAAUUUGAGUUA